Gallus gallus (chicken) is the source of this 412-nucleotide long non-coding RNA. The record is from Ensembl. NCBI's taxonomy places the organism in Eukaryota, Metazoa, Chordata, Aves, Galliformes, Phasianidae.
CUAACACUGACAGUUAACGUGAUGCGUGGAUGUUACAAGGAAGACUUGAGAGGAAGACUCAGAUACACAGCUGGCACUCAAAGGGACGUGGAAGGGUGGAGCUGAUUGUGACAUAUUUACUCAAAAAAACCAAUUUUUAAAAAUUAAACCUAAAUGACGGCUGAAUAUCACAGAAGAAAUGAGAGGAGGAGAAAGCUUGAAGACCUGUCUGUCCACCAGAAAUGGAUGUUAUGAAAUGACAGACUCAAAUUUACCCAAUCUCAAUUAUCACAUUAGCAACAGAGCUACUGAAGCCUGCUUUCUUUUGUAUUUGUGUCUUGAACUUGGAUUUAUUCAUGUCUGAAUAAGAUAUGAGGGCCAGAUGACGCGUCACCUGUCCUGCGUGUGCUUCUCCACAUGGCUUUUAAUAAGG